UACGAAGGGGGCUAGCGUUGCUCGGAAUUACUGGGCGUAAAGGGCGCGUAGGCGGAUAGUUUAGUCAGAGGUGAAAGCCCAGGGCUCAACCUUGGAACUGCCUUUGAUACUGGCUAUCUUGAGUUCGGGAGAGGUGAGUGGAAUGCCGAGUGUAGAGGUGAAAUUCGUAGAUAUUCGGAAGAACACCAGUGGCGAAGGCAGCAGAUUGGGCCGGUAUUGACGCUCAGGCACGAAAGCAUGGGGAUCAAACAGG
This 253-nucleotide ribosomal RNA is filed under the name uncultured bacterium. RNAcentral describes it as "partial 16S ribosomal RNA". It matches the Rfam family "Bacterial small subunit ribosomal RNA", at positions 524 to 776 of the family's 1533-position model. The record is from RNAcentral.